Molecule: long non-coding RNA, 621 nt
Organism: Salmo salar (Atlantic salmon)
Lineage: Eukaryota; Metazoa; Chordata; Actinopteri; Salmoniformes; Salmonidae
Source: RefSeq, a predicted model, not a curated record
UAGUGGAUAAAAUAGAAAAAUAUUUGUUCCCUGACCGGGAAUCGAACCCGGGCCGCGGCGGUGAGAGCGCCGAAUCCUAACCACUAGACCACCAGGGAAUCCGUACAAAUUUUCGACAGGACAUAUUCUGUUGGUCCAUCACGCAGACGCUGAGAAAGAACAAGACUUUGUUAACGGAGAUCCUGUGUGCGGACUCCAGCUACAUCCUUCAGCAUGUUCAGUAGGAGAGAACAGUGACUAAGCAGGACUACAAAAACCUAAACAUCCCCAAUCAGUCCGAUGAGAAGAAAGCUUAAAUUCUUGUUAAUCUAACUGCACUGUCCAAUUUACGGUAUUUGUUACAGUGAAAGGAUACCAUGCUAUUGUUUGAAGAGAGUGCACAGUUAUGAACUUGAAAAUGUAUUAAUAAACCAAUUGGGCACAUUUGGGUAGUCCUGAUACAACAUUUUGAACAGAUAUGCAAUGGUUCAUUGGAUCAGUCUAAAACGUUGCACAUACACUGCUGCCAUCCUGUGGCCAUAAUCUAAAUUACACCUGGGCUGAAAUAAUACAUUAUGGCCUUUCUCUUGCAUUUCAAAGAUGAUGGUCCAAAAAAAAUAAACGCAUGUUUUUUUCUUUGUA